GGAAUUAUGGAGCCCACUUGUGGAAAUAUCAUCCCAAUCAAACAAAGGGCCUUCCUCAAGUUCUCCGAAGAGAAUGGGCAAGAAUUUUUCAAAGAUAAAUCUAAUUCAUGAAACAAACUAACAAACAAACAAUCUUAUCUUUAGAGCUGGAAGGGCCCUUAAAGCUUACCUGUCCGUUAAUUCAGUGAUGUGGACAAGCCCAGAGAUAUUAGGGAUGUUGACAAGCUUGCAGUUAGAUAUGCCACUAGGGUUGGGCUGGAAUCCAGGGUUCCAAAGAUUUCUAAAACUAAAAAAAUAACUUACCCCUUGUGUGCGUAUGAAUAUGAAGUCGGUCUCUCUCUCUCUCUCUCUCUCUCUCUCUCUCUCUCUCUCUGUCUCUCUCUGUCUCUCUGUCUGUCUCUGUCUCUGUCUCUGUCUCUGUCUCUCUCUCUCUCUCUCUCUCUCUCUCUCUCCCUCUGUGUGUGUGUGUGUUCAGGUUUGCUAGUCCAAGCCAUGGGAAUAUUAGGCUUCCUUUAACAUGAAGCAGUUUACUAUGCCAGCAGGUUCCUGGUGGGGUUGUUAUACAAAAGCUAAAGUUUCAAAUGUUGCAGGCUCCAGGUCUGUAUACAGUUGCAGCUUCUUUGUCCUCCACUCAUGGCUACUUACAUUUUAUCUGGGUGCUUGUAAUAUUAGGAUGCAUGUCUUCCCUCUCACAGCUGGGUUGGAAGCUGUAACUGACAGCCUGUGAAGGAUGCUGUAAACAGAGUUACCAUGCAAAUGUCAAGUGCUGAGGGGCCU
Molecule: long non-coding RNA, 777 nt
Filed under: Mus musculus (house mouse)
Lineage: Eukaryota; Metazoa; Chordata; Mammalia; Rodentia; Muridae
Description: long non-coding RNA chr19:22094781-22095558
Source: RNAcentral